Molecule: small RNA, 128 nt
Filed under: Escherichia coli
Lineage: Bacteria; Pseudomonadati; Pseudomonadota; Gammaproteobacteria; Enterobacterales; Enterobacteriaceae
Description: QUAD RNA
Rfam family: Short Intergenic Abundant RNA
About the family: This family contains multiple ncRNA from E. coli that were identified in a large scale screen of E. coli, were they were called candidates 43,55 and 61. These RNAs have also been identified by other groups and called QUAD RNAs.
Source: RNAcentral
UGAAGGCAUACUUUCAGGAGUGAGGGUAGAGCGGGGUUUCCCCCGCCCUGGUAGUCUUAGUAUGCUGGGUAGCUAAUCACUAAGAGCACCACGAUGAUGAGUAUCUUCAUCAUGACCCUUUCCUUAUU